This 300-nucleotide signal recognition particle RNA is filed under the name Cebus imitator (Panamanian white-faced capuchin). RNAcentral describes it as "Metazoan signal recognition particle RNA (ENSCCAG00000007708.1)". It matches the Rfam family "Metazoan signal recognition particle RNA". From Rfam's summary of the family: The signal recognition particle (SRP) is a universally conserved ribonucleoprotein. It is involved in the co-translational targeting of proteins to membranes. The eukaryotic SRP consists of a 300-nucleotide 7S RNA and six proteins: SRPs 72, 68, 54, 19, 14, and 9. The record is from RNAcentral. Lineage: Eukaryota; Metazoa; Chordata; Mammalia; Primates; Cebidae.
GCCCGGCAUGGUGGCACGUGCCUGCAGUCCCAGCUACUCGGGAGGCUGAGGUGGGAGGAUUGCUUGAGCCCAGGAGUUCUGGGCUGUAGUGCACUAUGCCUAGCAGGUGUCCGCACUAAGUUCGGCAUCAAUAUGGUGACCUCCCGGGAGCGGGGGACCACCAGGUUGCCUAAGAAGGGGUGAACCGGCCCAGGUCAGAAACAGAGCAGGUCAAAACUCCCCGUGCUGAUCAGUAGUGGGAUCGUGCCUGUGAAUAGCCACUGCACUCCAGCCUGGGCAACAUAGUGAGACCCUGUCUCU